GAAGCGGCUUCGUCCCAGCUUUCCCGGAACGCGCACCCAGACCCAGUUCACGGGGACGGGGGAAGAGAAAUCGUCCGCACACACCCAACCUCGCGGACAGCCCAGCCAACUACCGCAGCUGCCGGCUCGCAGCCGCCGCAGAGGCCGGCGGCCGAGGCUGGGCACCCCGCGGCCUCAAGCCCGAGGGAGGCCCUUCGCCGGGGAGGUGCCACAUUCCAGCCCCGGGGCCAGGGAGUCCCGACCGUGCCCUCGCCCCCAGCAAGCGCCGAGCCAGCGCCUCGCGCCAGGCCGGCCUCGUCCGCCAGCUCCGCCGGCCCCUCCCUAACACCGUCACACACACCCCCGAACCCCACCGGGGCAACGACUCACCCGGGCCCUCGGGGUAGAAAAUGCCCAGGGCGACUGCGGGCGGCCCCUCCCCAGGGAACGAGGCGGCGCGGCUGCCGAAGCAGGUUUUCGGCUUCUGGAACCCUCCUCCUUCCAGGCCGGGGGGGGGGGGGCCAAAAAAGGCUCCUUCCGGGGGGCGGUGCCGCUGCUCCCCUCUCCGGCUCGCCUGAAACUUUACCGGGUUCCUCAGAGGAAAGCGGCCACCACCGCUGUCCAGUCCAGAGACAGCAGUCAGCGACCCGGAUGGAGAGGGCGGGGAAGGACUGGAGGCGAGCUGGGCGGAGAGCGCGAGGGGUGGAGAGAGUUAGGGAAAGAGGCAGGGGAGAAGGGAGAGGGGGAGGUGGCCAGGCAGGGGGUGGGGGUGGGGAGGGGUGGCCGGAAGUGAGUCGCGGAGCACGCGCGCGAACCCAGCUACUUCCCGGCCCGCGCGCCUGCGCGGGAAUCCUCCCGGGGCGCGUCGACCCUGCGCUUGCGCAGUGUGCAGCUGCGCGUAGUGGUGGCUUGCGGAGACGAACCCAGAAGGCGUUAGUUAAGGUGUUUUUAGCAGCGCCUGUGCUUUUUAAUGAAGCAGAUCUCUUCGGUUUUUGUUUUGGUUGGCUUUCUGCUCGUAGGUUUAGUCGUUGUAUUUUAUUCUGCCGUUUCCAGGGGCGAUUUUCAAGUACAGGUGGAACUAACAAAUACGGAUAUAGAGGCAACUGA
Molecule: long non-coding RNA, 1086 nt
Filed under: Oryctolagus cuniculus (rabbit)
Lineage: Eukaryota; Metazoa; Chordata; Mammalia; Lagomorpha; Leporidae
Description: lncRNA (ENSOCUG00000033389.1)
Source: RNAcentral